UGGCUUAGAUAGUAAAGAACCUGCCUGCAAUGCAGGAGACCCAGGUUCAAUCCCUGG
RNAcentral lists this transfer RNA (57 nucleotides) under Bos taurus (domestic cattle). It matches the Rfam family "tRNA", at positions 8 to 63 of the family's 71-position model. Rfam says of the family: Transfer RNA (tRNA) molecules are approximately 80 nucleotides in length. Their secondary structure includes four short double-helical elements and three loops (D, anti-codon, and T loops). Lineage: Eukaryota; Metazoa; Chordata; Mammalia; Artiodactyla; Bovidae. RNAcentral also lists the same sequence under 3 other names. The record is from Rfam by way of RNAcentral.